UCUCUUCCUAUGCUUCGCCUUUGUAGCUUGAGCCUACAUAUGGCUAUUUAGUUGGGCAUGCCCUCAAAUCGAGAUCGAUCACAUGAAAUCUAAUUACAAAUGAAAGCUAAGUUUGUAGGGGCUUAUAAAAUUAAGAUAUUAAAUUUUCACAAUAUAUAAGCCGAGCCUAACCAUCCAUUAAACUCAACAAACUCUUCUUUGCC
Molecule: long non-coding RNA, 203 nt
Filed under: Elaeis guineensis (African oil palm)
Lineage: Eukaryota; Viridiplantae; Streptophyta; Magnoliopsida; Arecales; Arecaceae
Description: long non-coding RNA (EGUI_LNC010229)
Source: RNAcentral